RNAcentral lists this ribosomal RNA (437 nucleotides) under uncultured bacterium. RNAcentral's name for it is "bacterial SSU rRNA". It matches the Rfam family "Bacterial small subunit ribosomal RNA", at positions 43 to 524 of the family's 1533-position model. The record is from RNAcentral.
CAGGCCUAACACAUGCAAGUCGAACGAUGGUCUUCGGAUCAUAGUGGCGCACGGGUGCGUAACGCGUGGGAAUCUGCCCUGGGGUCUGGGAUAACCGUUGGAAACGACGGCUAAUACCGGAUGAUGAUGAAAAUCCAAAGAUUUAUCGCCCUGGGAUGAGCCCGCGUUGGAUUAGGUAGUUGGUGGGGUAAAGGCCUACCAAGCCGACGAUCCUUAGCUGGUCUGAGAGGAUGAUCAGCCACACUGGGACUGAGACACGGCCCAGACUCCUACGGGAGGCAGCAGUGGGGAAUAUUGGACAAUGGGCGAAAGCCUGAUCCAGCAAUGCCGCGUGAGUGAUGAAGGCCUUAGGGUUGUAAAGCUCUUUUACCAGGGAUGAUAAUGACAGUACCUGGAGAAUAAGCUCCGGCUAACUCCGUGCCAGCAGCCGCGGUAAU